AACGUAGGAGACAAACGUUAUCCGGAGUUACUGGGCGUAAAGGGCGUGUAGGCGGUUUGUUAAGUCUGGCGUGAAAGCUCUCGGCUAAACCGGGAGAGGUCGUUGGAUACUGGCAAACUAGAGGAUGGUAGAGGCGUGUGGAAUUCCGGGUGUAGUGGUGAAAUGCGUAGAGAUCCGGAGGAACACCGGUGGCGAAGGCGGCUUCCUGGACCGACACUGACGCUGAGGCGCGAAAGCUAGGGGAGCAAACGGG
This 253-nucleotide ribosomal RNA is filed under the name uncultured bacterium. Its description in RNAcentral is "partial 16S ribosomal RNA". It matches the Rfam family "Bacterial small subunit ribosomal RNA", at positions 524 to 776 of the family's 1533-position model. The record is from RNAcentral.